Molecule: transfer RNA, 91 nt
Filed under: Streptomyces fumigatiscleroticus
Lineage: Bacteria; Bacillati; Actinomycetota; Actinomycetes; Kitasatosporales; Streptomycetaceae
Description: tRNA-Ala
Source: RNAcentral
GCGCAGCAGGAUGGCGACGUCCGUCAGGCUCGCGAUCUGUCCGGCGAUCGACGGGCCGCCCGGCCCCGGGUACGGCUGCCCGGGCAGCGCC